This 428-nucleotide ribosomal RNA is filed under the name Bacillota bacterium. RNAcentral describes it as "Firmicutes bacterium partial 16S ribosomal RNA". It matches the Rfam family "Bacterial small subunit ribosomal RNA", at positions 355 to 776 of the family's 1533-position model. Lineage: Bacteria; Bacillati; Bacillota. The record is from RNAcentral.
UGGGGAAUCUUGCCCAAUGGGCGAAAGCCUGAGGCAGCGACGCCGCGUGAGGGAAGAAGGCCUUCGGGUUGUAAACCUCUUUCAGGAGGGACGAAGCUACUCGGGUUAAUAGCCCAGAGGGUGACGGUACCUCCAGAAGAAGCCCCGGCUAACUACGUGCCAGCAGCCGCGGUAAUACGUAGGGGGCAAGCGUUGUCCGGAUUUACUGGGCGUAAAGAGCGUGUAGGCGACCAGACAGGUCUGUUGUGAAAACUGGAGGCUCAACCUCCAGACGUCGACAGAAACCGUCUGGCUAGAGUCCGGAAGAGGAGAGUGGAAUUCCUGGUGUAGCGGUGAAAUGCGCAGAUAUCAGGAAGAACACCGAUGGCGAAGGCAGCUCUCUGGGACGGUACUGACGCUGAGACGCGAAAGCGUGGGGAGCGAACAGG